RNAcentral lists this long non-coding RNA (483 nucleotides) under Mus musculus (house mouse). RNAcentral's name for it is "long non-coding RNA chr10:63800870-63801353". The record is from RNAcentral. Lineage: Eukaryota; Metazoa; Chordata; Mammalia; Rodentia; Muridae.
AGUACAGAUGUCUGCCUACACGCUCAUCACCCAUAAAUACCCACUCGCAAAACUAAAAGAAAGAUGUCUCGCCCUGCAAGAGAGAAACGCUAAGACCGCAGUUCACUUCCUAGCUUCCCGGUUUCAUCUUGGCGAGGGUGUUGUUUGGAAGCACCUCUCCCUACUCAGGGAGAGACUGUGCAGGCAGAAAAGCAAUAGGACUGGAUGUGGAAGUCUGUAAAACCCCCGCCAGAUUCACGUGCUCUGAGGAUUUCCACGCACCUCCACCGCUGGCAGCCAGGCUCCCGGAGCCUGGGGUAACGAGCGUUCCAAGGCGAAGAGAGGAACCAGCAAAUCAGAGCAGAAAAGGAAAGCGACUCCAGGGAACGAGGGCUUCAGCUCCAAUAAAUGAGCGGAUGCUGAUGAGAUGGAAUUUACAUUUAAGUCACAAAGUUGCUGGGCCUGGAUUGUAAGUGUUGGACAAUAAAGUCAUUUGGAAACAUC